This 233-nucleotide unclassified non-coding RNA is filed under the name uncultured fungus. RNAcentral's name for it is "sequence contains ITS1". Lineage: Eukaryota; Fungi. The record is from RNAcentral.
GUAAACGAUUAUAUCGUACUCAGACAAACAAAAACUAUCCACGAGUUAGGGCCCUCUGGCAGAACCCAAGCCCGGAACCACCCGGGCAGGAGCCUUGCCAAAGCAACAGAGGUAAGGUAAACAAAGGGUGAGGGGUGUCACCGCCCGGGGAGCCCAGAGGCUCCACGGGGGCUCGUCCCGGGGACCGGAGUCCCCUUUCAGUAAUGAUCCUUCCGCAGGUUCACCUACGGAAA